RNAcentral lists this non-coding RNA (178 nucleotides) under Lachnospiraceae bacterium. RNAcentral's name for it is "6S RNA". It matches the Rfam family "6S / SsrS RNA". From Rfam's summary of the family: E. coli 6S RNA was the first non coding RNA to be sequenced, but its function was unknown until recently. It consists of 184 nucleotides that fold into an extended hairpin structure with a large single-stranded internal bulge. The record is from RNAcentral. Lineage: Bacteria; Bacillati; Bacillota; Clostridia; Lachnospirales; Lachnospiraceae.
GUUCAUCUGGGGUGUUCGAUAACCUGCUAUUUUGAACCUACAUUUCAUCGAAGGGAAUCCGAUAUCCACUGGGGAAUGUCAAGCCUCCAUUUGAGAGGAAGACAGGAACCUGUAUGAGGAUACCCACCUAGCAUUGCUAGGCGUCAAAAUUUCAGGAACCGGCACAUCUGGAGACUUU